GAUGAAGAACGUAGCGAAAUGCGAUAAGUAAUGCGAAUUGCAGAAUUUCCGUGAGUCAUCGAAUCUUUGAACGCACAUUGCUCCCACUGGUAUUCCGGUGGGCAUGCCUGUUCGAGCGUCAUUAUCCUCCCUCAAAACUCUUGUUUUGGUGUUGGGCCACGUUGGUCACCUCCGACCAACGGGCCUCAAAGACAAUGACGGCGUCCGUGGGACCCUCUUCGCAGUGAGCUUUGAUUAGCGCGCGUUGAGUCUAAAAGGACCUUCCGGGCCGGCCACCUUUAUCUAAUUUACAAGGUUGACCUCGGAUCAGGUAGGAAUACCCGCUGAACUUAAGCAUAUCGAUAAGCGGAGGA
This 353-nucleotide unclassified non-coding RNA is filed under the name soil metagenome. RNAcentral describes it as "partial contains 5.8S ribosomal RNA, internal transcribed spacer 2, and large subunit ribosomal RNA". The stretch from base 1 to 121 matches the Rfam family "5.8S ribosomal RNA", at positions 35 to 154 of the family's 154-position model. The record is from RNAcentral.